Molecule: ribosomal RNA, 484 nt
Filed under: uncultured bacterium
Lineage: Bacteria
Description: partial 16S ribosomal RNA
Rfam family: Bacterial small subunit ribosomal RNA
Source: RNAcentral
AUUGAACGCUGGCGGCAUGCUUUACACAUGCAAGUCGAACGGCAGCGCGGGCUUCGGCCUGGCGGCGAGUGGCGAACGGGUGAGUAAUGCAUCGGAACGUGCCCAGUAGUGGGGGAUAGCCCGGCGAAAGCCGGAUUAAUACCGCAUACGACCUGAGGGUGAAAGCGGGGGACCGAAAGGCCUCGCGCUAUUGGGGCGGCCGAUGUCGGAUUAGCUAGUUGGUGGGGUAAAGGCUUACCAAGGCGACGAUCCGUAGCUGGUCUGAGAGGACGACCAGCCACACUGGGACUGAGACACGGCCCAGACUCCUACGGGAGGCAGCAGUGGGGAAUUUUAGACAAUGGGGGCAACCCUGAUCCAGCCAUGCCGCGUGCGGGAAGAAGGCCUUCGGGUUGUAAACCGCUUUUGUUCGGGAAGAAAUCCUCUGGGCUAAUACCCCGGGGGGAUGACGGUACCGGAAGAAUAAGCACCGGCUAACUACGUG